RNAcentral lists this transfer RNA (64 nucleotides) under Anadimonia potanini. Its description in RNAcentral is "tRNA-His". The record is from RNAcentral. Lineage: Eukaryota; Metazoa; Arthropoda; Insecta; Coleoptera; Chrysomelidae.
AUCUAAAUAGUUUAUUAAAAAUAUUAAUUUGUGAUGUUAAAGUUAUAUACCUAUAUUUUAGAUU